CUGUAUAUAGCAAGCCAUAGAGUCCUUCCUUUGGCAUGAAUGCCCCAUAAUCCACUCUCUCCAUUUUGUGCCCCAAGGGCCAAGAAUUCUUCACAAGCCAAUACUUAGUCCAUCACUACUAAUCUUGUAUCCAGCUGAGGUAACACCAUGGUCUAAGGCAAUAAUGAUGAACACACUACUAGCAUUGACUACAGAAACUGGCUGGUCCGCAAUGGCACAUACGUACCCGUUUAGGAAACUGUUUGGAAUGCAGACUUCUGAGUGUUGAUCCAUUGCGUUGGAUCAAUUGGAAAGCACUGUCCAAUUAGACCACCUUGACGGCCAUGAUUUUCACCUCAUUGAAGUCCACUUUAUCUUUGAAUAUCAUGUAUCGCCUCUCCUUCUUUUCUGCAUCCUAAUAUACGUACCUGCUGGAAUCGGGCCGUCCCGUUCUGGUGCCUCUUCAGCAUGGUUUGGUCUUCAAGUUGGGGGGAAAAUACUUGGGUGGAGCAAAUGGCAUGGCAUGGCAUGGCGAAGUUAAAGAGAGGCUGAGAAGAGGUGUUGGCCUUUGUAGGUUUGUGAGAGCCAUGGAAUAUCAUUAAGCACGAAUAAUUAAAGGUAUGUUUAUCUUUUGAUAUUUGGGUGCAAAUUUUUGGUCUUCAAGUUGGGGGGAAAAUGCUUGGGUGGAGCAAAUGGCAUGGCAUGGCAUGGCGAAGUUAAAGAAAGGCUGAGAAGAGGUGUUGGCCUUUGUAGGUUUGUGAGAGCCUUGGAAUAUCAUUAAGCACGAAUAAUUAAAGGUAUGUUUAUCUUUUGAUAUUUGGGUGCAAAUGUUUGGUCUUCAAGUUGGGGGGAAAAUGCUUGGGUGGAGCAAAUGGCAUGGCAUGGCGAAGUUAAAGAAAGGCUGAGAAGAGGUGUUGGCCCUUGUAGGUUUGUGAGAGCCAUGGAAUAUCAUUAAGCACGAAUAAUUAAAGUGCUUGAUGAAGACCUGCCUUUCUACGUGCCUACAGUGAUUUUCCGACUUAAACCCAGAUUUGCGGAAGGAGAAAGAUGACAAUGAGCCACACCAUCUAUCCAUAAUACUUGGUCUAUCUCAAAGGUGUAAUGCAUUGUUUAUUCAAUUGUGAUUAACAAAUUUUUAUCUUGCACUUUCAUAAUUGGGAUCAUU
This is a long non-coding RNA of Pyrus x bretschneideri (Chinese white pear), 1144 nucleotides long. RefSeq lists it as uncharacterized. The transcript is spliced from 2 exons. Lineage: Eukaryota; Viridiplantae; Streptophyta; Magnoliopsida; Rosales; Rosaceae. The record is from RefSeq and is a predicted model, not a curated record.